AGUGAACGCUGGCGGUAGGCCUAACACAUGCAAGUCGAACGGCAGCACAGUAAGAGCUUGCUCUUACGGGUGGCGAGUGGCGGACGGGUGAGGAAUACAUCGGAAUCUACUUUUUCGUGGGGGAUAACGUAGGGAAACUUACGCUAAUACCGCAUACGACCUACGGAUGAAAGCAGGGGAUCUUCGGACCUUGCGCGAUUGAAUGAGCCGAUGUCGGAUUAGCUAGUUGGCGGGGUAAAGGCCCACCAAGGCGACGAUCCGUAGCUGGUCUGAGAGGAUGAUCAGCCACACUGGAACUGAGACACGGUCCAGACUCCUACGGGAGGCAGCAGUGGGGAAUAUUGGACAAUGGGCGCAAGCCUGAUCCAGCCACACCGCGUGGGUGAAGAAGGCCUUCGGGUUGUAAAGCCCUUUUGUUGGGAAAGAAAAGCAGCAGGUUAAUACCUCGCUGUUCUGACGGUACCCAAAGAAUAAGCCCCGGCUAACUUCGUG
Molecule: ribosomal RNA, 492 nt
Filed under: uncultured bacterium
Lineage: Bacteria
Description: partial 16S ribosomal RNA
Rfam family: Bacterial small subunit ribosomal RNA
Source: RNAcentral